Molecule: ribosomal RNA, 207 nt
Filed under: uncultured bacterium
Lineage: Bacteria
Description: partial 16S ribosomal RNA
Rfam family: Bacterial small subunit ribosomal RNA
Source: RNAcentral
CUCGUAGGCGGUUUGUCGCGUCGGGAGUGAAAUCCACUGGCUUAACUGGUGGCUUGCUUUCGAUACGGGCAGACUGGAGGCAUGCAGGGGAGAACGGAAUUCCUGGUGUAGCGGUGAAAUGCGCAGAUAUCAGGAGGAACACCGGUGGCGAAGGCGGUUCUCUGGGCAUGUCCUGACGCUGAGGAGCGAAAGUGUGGGGAGCGAACA